Nothoprocta perdicaria is the source of this 1466-nucleotide long non-coding RNA. RefSeq lists it as uncharacterized. The record is from RefSeq and is a predicted model, not a curated record. Lineage: Eukaryota; Metazoa; Chordata; Aves; Tinamiformes; Tinamidae. The transcript is spliced from 3 exons.
GGAGGGCAAGCUACGGGGCCAGCCUGGGAAACCUCCUGCAGGAGAGCACGGCUGUUCCCSGGACCUCCAGGAGUUUCUUGGGGAGAAAGAGGCCUCCGGAGGACUAAGAAAGUGGAGCCAGUGAAAGCAUAUUGCCUCCGCUGAUACUCUCCUCCUACAUUAAACGGUGGAAGAACAAGGCCUGUCUGAAAGAUGGAGUCAGGACCUACUUCCUCUACCUACAAAGUUCUUCUGGCAAUAAGAGGGAACAAGUUAAGGAUGUUUCUAAAGCAUUGAGCGGCUGUAUUUGACCAGAACAUUCGAAAGUAUUUUUUUAGGGCUGUCACGUUGCCUGUUGUUGCAUUUGUGCUUUUGUAGUGGUCUCACCUGUGUGCUUUUUUUUUCCCCUUAGCAUCGUGGGUUCCUUUGCUCCCAGCUGCAGGACUGGAUGACRAGGGACGCUGGGCAUGGUGCCGAUCAUGGCCACRUUCUGUUCAGCAGGCUGCUGCUUUUUGAGUUAUCAGGCUUGUGUUGUCCAGCAGAUGGAUCCAGCUUGCAGUGCAGUGACUGAGCUUGUCCCAUUCCCAUGGUGCCAGGGCACUUCAUGGCUGGCUUGGUGAAGCCGUCUUUGCAGAGCUCCUAARGGAUGGUUGUGAAUUCCUGGGGACCUCAGGAGAGUCCACCAGCUGGGAAAUCUUUUGGACUGAGCUCCUGUAGCAUCUAAGGCAAACAGCUAAUCCAGAAUACAGAUGCUUUUCUCUAGCUUUGAAGAGGAGUAUGGCUCUUGAUGUGCCAGAUAAAGGUAAAAGACAUUUCAAUGGGUAGCAGCUGGGCCUUGGAUCAAGACAUAUAUUUUUUUAGCAAAUCAGUUUUAUUUUAGCAAAUAAAACAGUUUGGGGUGUGGUGCUGCGGUCUGGUGCAGAGGAUCAAGAUCUCUCAGCCGUGUUCACUGGCAGGGCUUGUUAGUGGUAGCCAGGCUCUGUCUCCUCACGCGCUCUGCGUUUUCCAUGAUUUCCAGCCAAGAUACCUUUGGCUGGUAGGCACUGGCUGUUGUGCUCACUGCAAGGUGCAGCAGCUGAAAUUCUGGCCUACGUCAUGGAAGGUCUGACCAGAGGAUGGUCAGCCCUUCUGCUGUGGAAAUCUAUCGAUUUCUGGUAAACUAAGAUAUGCUGUGUUUAUAUAGCUCAACAUUGCUAAACCCUUCUUUUUUGAGCCUUAUAAAAUAAAUCAAUGUACAAGAGAAUAGGGGAGCAGUCACUGCCAUAAUGACAAAAUCAGUUCCUGUUUGCAUAGUUUUCUUAAAGCCCAAGGAGAUAUUCAGGGAGAUAUAUUUUUUUUCUUUCAAGGGCAUUUGGAGAAGAACAGACAAGCUUUUGGCACACAGUUCUGCAUCAGGCUUUGUUUAUUCAUAGGGACCCUAUAUAUUGUAGUGUUGCUGUUCUGACUGUUCCUUAGAAUGGAAACUGGAACCAAUGGUUUUGUAAUGA